UUACUUACCUGGAUGGGGUCAUAGAUGAUCAAGAAGGUCCAUGGCCUAGGUUAGUAACCUCCAUUGCACUUGUGAGGGGUGCUCGCCUAAGAUCUAUUUAAGUGGUGGAGUCUACAUCAUAAUUUGUGACAGGGGGAAUUGCGUUCGCGCAGUCCCCAC
Molecule: small nuclear RNA, 159 nt
Filed under: Daucus carota subsp. sativus
Lineage: Eukaryota; Viridiplantae; Streptophyta; Magnoliopsida; Apiales; Apiaceae
Description: sRNA DCAR_sn00218
Rfam family: U1 spliceosomal RNA
About the family: U1 is a small nuclear RNA (snRNA) component of the spliceosome (involved in pre-mRNA splicing). Its 5' end forms complementary base pairs with the 5' splice junction, thus defining the 5' donor site of an intron. There are significant differences in sequence and secondary structure between metazoan and yeast U1 snRNAs, the latter being much longer (568 nucleotides as compared to 164 nucleotides in human).
Source: Rfam by way of RNAcentral